AGUCCCCAGCAUCCACUAGGACGUCAGAGAAACUAAUUUGUUGUUGAAGUUAAGCGGGUGUUGUGUUUAGUAAUGCUAUAAUGGAACAGCAGAUUAGCAUGCAGAAAUUGGUGACCUAAAACAGUUCACACAUCUUACUUAAGAAUAGUUUAUUAAAAUUACACACAAAAAAAAAAUAUGACAGUUAGGAGCUUAUUGUUUAUAAAAACAUGUAAACACAUUUAUUCACACACUACACCUCUACACAAAAAUAAACAAAUUAGCAUUAGACCAGGCACAUUUACCACAUCUCUAUAUAUAUAUUUUUUUUUAAAUUUAAAUGUUGAUGGGCAAUUAUGCCUACAAAGUGUUCUUCAGGUAUUCUUUGAAGACUUAAUUGGUCAUGACCAUUAUUCAUUACACUAAUUGUAAUCGUAAUUGAGGAAGGCUUGUGGAGUUUGAACUGAAAGGUGUAAUUUAACUUUAAAAAAAAAAGCCAUUGCUGUGCGGUUUUUAGCAAAAGCGUGUGCAAUUUUAAGAAGAAUGUGUAAAUCUACAAGAAGUUAGGAUUUUUAUGAUGAGGUUUGUGGUAAUGCGAUGGGUUCGCAUUAGUGCGAUGUCAUUUGGCAUACGCCUACUUUGUGUAAUACUGCGUACAAAAUAGCAAAAAUACGUUGGGGCGGAUAUUCGCUAUUGUGCAACAUGUUCGCAAUUUUGCGUAUAUGUUGUGGGAACGAAAAAAAUAGCGAUCAACUCGGAAUCACCCCCUAUGUCUGCUGCUUUUGGUUAAUAAUAUAGUCAAUGACCUUCUGGGCUUUAAAUGGUGCUUUCCCUACCUUCCCCUACGAUGCGCUGGUGGCUGAUGUAAUGCCGCUUGCUGAGGUCCAGAGGUGAUAGCCACGGGGACGCUUCCAAGUCCCAACGGUGGUGGCUGCAGGUGAUGUCAGGAGCCUGUUUCUGUGAGCCCGUGGUGUAGAGGUGCAAAGUCCCGAUUCCAUUAUAUGCUCCAACGUGUUUCGAAUCCAACCAGAUUCUUUUUCAAGCAAAAGAAGCAGAUGCUUACCUGAGCAUAAGGACGCCCACCGUUGCCUUCUCAUUUCCCUCUGAUGGCGAUGCUGAAACAUCAGUACCAUUGUCACAUAUCGGGUCAUCAUGCAGAUUCUGUGUGUCUCUAAAGACGUGCAGGCUGAACUGCUCUCCAAUUGCAAGUGAGAUUGCAUCUGCUAAUUUAUGCACGCCCAGGAAACACUAUCUAAAUGCCUGUGAUACGCCUGCGUUUGCUCAACCACACUCCAUUACCAUCCCCAAACAUUGAUUUCCUGUCACUCACAUUGUGACUAAUACCUCACUGCGAGCGCUACCGUAAUUCAGUAUCUGCAUGUGUGCCAUGCGGCUCAGAUGCAUGCACAGUACGAAAACAUUUACAGAAUUGUGAACUUCGGCCGCUUUGUGAUCACAUCUGAAUGAGGACCGUGGUGCAGUAACCUGUGCUGAAGAUCCAGGCUAUCUUUGUGGUCUUAUCAGAGAGGGGACCACUACACAAAAAUAGACUUGACACAAGCAUACCUGCAGGUACGGGUGAAGGAUUCUUCAAAGAAAUACCACACUAUAAAUACACACAGUACUGAUACAAUAUAACUGUAUUUGCAUGGCUUCCGCACUUUCCCUCUGGCAAAGAGCAAUGGAGCAAGUACUACAAGGAAUACCAGGUACCCAGUGCUAUCUAGAUGAUGUUAUGAAAUGACAAUGAAACAAUUUAAUGAAGGUUCUACCUCAACUACAAAAAUAGGGACAGUAAAAAACAAAUGCAACAUUUAUCAAAUAUCGUUCAAUAGACAUGGCUGGGUUGCAAGCAUCUCACCUACACAGCUUAGAUCAUAUCUUGGCUUAGUCAGUUACUGCCAUAAAUUAUUUUGCCAAAUGUCUCCACAGUCUUGCACCCACUGAAUGCACUUCUCUUAAAGAAUAUACAAUGAAAAUGGUCAUAAGAGUGUGAAAAAGCACUCUUGGAAACUAAAGAAUUGAUAGUAUUUUACAAAGUCUUAACUUAUUUUUCCCCACAGGUGCUUAUCAGGUAGCAAGUGAUGCUACACACACCUCAGUCAAAAUACUGAUGCCAGAAUCCCAACACUAUUCGGAAUGCCGACACCAGAAUCCUGAAUAGGGUCAAUAGACUGGUGCUAGAAUCCAGACAGCCAGGAUCCUGAACGAACGCCAGCCAACCAGACUGACAGGUCCCCACUAUCGUCUCAACUUGUGGAUCCCGUUAGAAGAACAUCCAUCCCCACCGUGGAAUCUUCACACAGCUAAACAAGGGACAAGCUUCUGCGGAUGCCUACCGCUUAAACACCUUGAACAACUGCUGGUGGUCAAACUGUCUCCAUGGUGACAGGAAUGCUCUUCAUGAUUAGCGCUACAAUUGGAUCAAAAAUCUUGUUUCUAUCUGAAGGUCCGCCAUCACGGCCCUCAAGUUCCCUUUAAGGCUUGCCACAAUGGCAGGCAAACUGGUGGGAUCUCCAACUGCAACAUCUGAAAUGAAGAGGCAAAGAAAACAUUACUAACUUACUCACAUUACCUAUUAUACAAGCAAGGCACAAAGCACACUUUAAUGGCAAAGUUACUAUAUCAUGGAUGUUUGAAUGUUAAAACAGUAGCAUACCAACACACAAGCAAAAAAAAAAAAAAAGUGUGCCACACCAUGGGGUACAUUUACUAAGAUGGGAGUUCUAUUUAAGAUGGGACGUUGCCCAUAGCAACCAAUCAGAUUCCACAUAUUAUCUUCUAGAAGGUGCUAAAUAAAUGAGAAGUAGAAUCUGAUUGG
Molecule: long non-coding RNA, 2800 nt
Organism: Pseudophryne corroboree (corroboree frog)
Lineage: Eukaryota; Metazoa; Chordata; Amphibia; Anura; Myobatrachidae
Exons: 4
Source: RefSeq, a predicted model, not a curated record